UACGUAGGGUGCAAGCGUUGUCCGGAAUUAUUGGGCGUAAAGAGCUCGUAGGCGGUCUGUCGCGUCGGCUGUGAAAUCUCGGGGCUCAACCCCGAGCCUGCAGUCGAUACGGGCAGACUAGAGUGCUGUAGGGGAGACUGGAAUUCCUGGUGUGAGCGGUGAAAUGCGCAGAUAUCAGGAGGAACACCGGUGGCGAAGGCGGGUCUCUGGGCCGAUACUGACGCUGAGGAGCGAAAGCGUGGGGGAGCGAACAGG
This 255-nucleotide ribosomal RNA is filed under the name uncultured bacterium. RNAcentral describes it as "partial 16S ribosomal RNA". It matches the Rfam family "Bacterial small subunit ribosomal RNA", at positions 524 to 776 of the family's 1533-position model. The record is from RNAcentral.